AAUAGAUACCCAGGUAGUCCACGCCGUAAACGUUGGGCGCUAGAUGUGGGGACCAUUCCACGGUUUCCGCGUCGUAGCUAACGCAUUAAGCGCCCCGCCUGGGGAGUACGGCCGCAAGGCUAAAACUCAAAGGAAUUGACGGGGGCCCGCACAAGCGGCGGAGCAUGCGGAUUAAUUCGAUGCAACGCGAAGAACCUUACCAAGGCUUGACAUAUGCGAGAACGCUCUAGAAAUAGAGAACUCUUUGGACACUCGUAUACAGGUGGUGCAUGGUUGUCGUCAGCUCGUGUCGUGAGAUGUUGGGUUAAGUCCCGCAACGAGCGCAACCCUCGUCGCAUGUUGCCAGCACGUAAUGGUGGGAACUCAUGUGAGACUGCCGGGGUCAACUCGGAGGAAGGUGGGGAUGACGUCAAAUCAUCAUGCCCCUUAUGUCUUGGGCUUCACGCAUGCUACAAUGGCCGGUACAAAGGGCUGCGAAACCGCAAGGUGGAGCGAAUCCCAAAAACGCCGGUCUCAGUUCGGAUUGAGGU
Molecule: ribosomal RNA, 530 nt
Filed under: uncultured bacterium
Lineage: Bacteria
Description: bacterial SSU rRNA
Rfam family: Bacterial small subunit ribosomal RNA
Source: RNAcentral